Molecule: ribosomal RNA, 494 nt
Filed under: uncultured bacterium
Lineage: Bacteria
Description: partial 16S ribosomal RNA
Source: RNAcentral
GUAGUUAGCCGGGGCUUCCUCCUUGGCUACCGUCACUUUCUUCGUCACCAAGGACAGAGGUUUACAAUCCGAAGACCUUCUUCCCUCACGCGGCGUUGCUGGGUCAGGGUUUCCCCCAUUGCCCAAUAUUCCCCACUGCUGCCUCCCGUAGGAGUCUGGACCGUGUCUCAGUUCCAGUGUGGCCGAUCACCCUCUCAGGUCGGCUACUGAUCGUUGACUUGGUGAGCCGUUACCUCACCAACUAUCUAAUCAGACGCGAGCCCACCCCUUACCGGAUUGCUCCUUUGACCUCUGUUUCACUCGAAACCGUGGUCUUAUGCGGUAUUAGCACAACUUUCGCUGCGUUAUCCCCCUGUAAGGGACAGGUUGCUCACGCGUUACUCACCCGUCCGCCGCUCGAAUCAUAUCAGAUUACUCCUCUAUGACCCUCGCUCGACUUGCAUGUGUUAGGCACGCCGCCAGCGUUCGUCCUGAGCCACGAAUCAAACUACUGA